This 592-nucleotide ribosomal RNA is filed under the name Puntius sp. FB-19. Its description in RNAcentral is "partial 16S ribosomal RNA". It matches the Rfam family "Bacterial large subunit ribosomal RNA", at positions 1816 to 2611 of the family's 2925-position model. The record is from RNAcentral. Lineage: Eukaryota; Metazoa; Chordata; Actinopteri; Cypriniformes; Cyprinidae. RNAcentral also lists the same sequence under 2 other names.
CGCCUCUUGCAACACAACUAAGUAUAAGAGGUCCAGCCUGCCCAGUGACCACAAGUUUAACGGCCGCGGUAUUUUGACCGUGCAAAGGUAGCGCAAUCACUUGUCUUUUAAAUAAAGACCUGUAUGAAUGGCUAAACGAGGGCUUAACUGUCUCCCAUUUCAAGUCAGUGAAAUUGAUCUACCCGUGCAGAAGCGGGUAUAAUAAUACAAGACGAGAAGACCCUUUGGAGCUUAAGGUGCAAAACUCAAUCACGUCAAGCAACUCAAUAAAAACAUAUUAAACCUAGUAAUUUAUGAGGCCGCACCUUCGGUUGGGGCGACCAUGGAGGAAAAAAUAGCCUCCAAGCGGAAUGGGGUUAAUCCCUAAAACCAAGAGAGACAUCUCUAAGACACAGCACAUCUGACCAUAAAUGAUCCGGUAAUAAACCGAUCAACGAACCAAGUUACCCAAGGGAUAACAGCGCAAUCCUCUCCCAGAGUCCAUAUCGACGAGGGGGUUUACGACCUCGAUGUUGGAUCAGGACAUCCUAAUGGUGCAGCCGCUAUUAAGGGUUCGUUUGUUCAACGAUUAAAGUCCUACGUGAUCUGAGUU